Molecule: ribosomal RNA, 253 nt
Filed under: uncultured bacterium
Lineage: Bacteria
Description: partial 16S ribosomal RNA
Rfam family: Bacterial small subunit ribosomal RNA
Source: RNAcentral
GACGGAGGGUGCUAGCGUUGUUCGGAAUUACUGGGCGUAAAGGGCUCGUAGGUGGCCAACUAAGUCAGACGUGAAAUCCCUCGGCUUAACCGGGGAACUGCGUCUGAUACUGGAUGGCUUGAGUUCGGGAGAGGGAUGCGGAAUUCCCGGUGUAGCGGUGAAAUGCGUAGAUAUCUGGAGGAACACCGGUGGCGAAGGCGGCAUCCUGGACCGACACUGACGCUGAGGAGCGAAAGCGAGGGGAUCAAACGGG